Molecule: transfer RNA, 73 nt
Filed under: Nitrospina sp.
Lineage: Bacteria; Pseudomonadati; Nitrospinota; Nitrospinia; Nitrospinales; Nitrospinaceae
Description: tRNA-Gly
Rfam family: tRNA
About the family: Transfer RNA (tRNA) molecules are approximately 80 nucleotides in length. Their secondary structure includes four short double-helical elements and three loops (D, anti-codon, and T loops).
Source: RNAcentral
GCGGGAGUAGCUCAGUUGGUAGAGUACCAGCUUCCCAAGCUGGGUGUCGCGGGUUCGAACCCCGUCUCCCGCU